GACAGUUUGGCCGAGUGGUUAAGGCGACAGACUCGAACCGACCAAUCAGCGUCGAGAUUGACAUCUGUUGGGUUCGCCCGCGCAGGUUCAAAUCCUGCAGCUGUCG
RNAcentral lists this transfer RNA (106 nucleotides) under Aspergillus terreus. It matches the Rfam family "tRNA". From Rfam's summary of the family: Transfer RNA (tRNA) molecules are approximately 80 nucleotides in length. Lineage: Eukaryota; Fungi; Ascomycota; Eurotiomycetes; Eurotiales; Aspergillaceae. RNAcentral also lists the same sequence under 1 other name. The record is from Rfam by way of RNAcentral.